RNAcentral lists this unclassified non-coding RNA (256 nucleotides) under Melitaea cinxia (Glanville fritillary). RNAcentral's name for it is "misc RNA ENSMCXG00005003585.1". The record is from RNAcentral. Lineage: Eukaryota; Metazoa; Arthropoda; Insecta; Lepidoptera; Nymphalidae.
CCUUUUUUUUUUUUUUUUUUUUUUUUUUUUUUUUUUUUUUUUUUUUUUUUUUUUUUUUUUUUUUUUACAAGUUUAUAAACUAUACAAAUAAAAAUUAUAAUAUUCUUCUAGUAACAGUAUCAGCUAGCUACUAAUAAGAAAUACUACUAACAAGUGUCAAAGUAACAAAAAAUAAUAUUAAUUAGUCUAAAGUAACAAAAUGCAGUCUUCGUUUUUCUCUUAACAUAGGUAACUAAUUCUUUAAUUUUGAGCAUAA